AGGAGCCCGGCGGUCAAUUGGAGCGCAGGCCAGAGGAAUGGAGAGCAGAGAGCAGUCACAGAGUGCCUGGCUGUCGCCCUGCUGGAUUGCAGGGGAGUUUCUUGGCUCCACCCCUGGAAAAGAGUGCAGCGGAGCAAUCUAGAAUGAGGCAAUAAGGCAGCACCGGCAGCGGGGCUUAAUGGCAAAAUGGAGAGGGACUGGCAACCAUGGUGGGGAGAGAGGGAGAGAGGCAGAGAGAGGGAGAGAGAGAACACCAAUCAAACUGCAUCGACUGAAUUCAGACCCCGGCCUCGAUUCAACAUUGCUGGCUCACACUCAGGAUGGGCCGGCGGACCGCACCCUGACUGCGGAAGAUGAGGACUUCCGACGCUACUAUGCAUCAUUGUUUGCUGUCCCCACCACUAGGGGCAGUGUGGGACCCACAAGCAACUCCCCUGUGUCUUGCCUCACCAUAGAAGUGCUGAAUGAGAGUAGCGAGGAGUUACCAGAAACCACUGGUGGUGAACCAACCAUCGACCGCAGCGCAAUGCGUCCUUCCGGGCAAUGUUGCUCCAAUAAAGAAAGUGAAGCAGGCGCCCUGGUCGGCCCCCUGCAGCUUCACUCUUUUACCUCUGGUCGGUCGGGACCUGCAAAGCACUCGUCAGUGUCAGCAGAUUCUACAGAAUACAAAAGUCUUCGUACACAGCUUUCUACAAAACAGUUCUCCUCGUCGCGCGGCCCUACAGGCGCUUAUCCGAGGGCGGCCGAGACGACCACGGAGUCGCCCCGGAGACCCGCCUCAACGUCACCAGGGUCCCCCGUCCCUCCCAGCGCCAGAGUCCACGAAUCACAGGCCCCCGCGCCGUCGUCUCCCACCGCCUCCCUGCGUCUCUCCAGCCGAUCCCUCCCCCCCUGCCCCGCCGCCUCUCCCCUCUGUCCCAACACCCGGGGGUCCCCUCCCCCCACCCACCUCUCCCUUCGCUCCACCUUCACUCUGACGCCGUUGACCUCCGUCGACGUAGCUCUUCUUCCCGAGGUUGACCCGGAGACUCUUCCCCCGGCGGCGGCGGGCGUAGAGGGGCCGGCGUCCCGGGCCGCCUCGUCCCUCAGAGGGUCCGCGGACUCGGCCCUCUCACCCGGGCGAUGGCGCUCCACGCACCCCCUGCCCCCUGUCCCCCCGGUUUCAUCCGAUCCAGAGGAGCGCCCCCCCACCGUCACCUCACCGCCAACCGGGGGGCCUCCCUCCCACCUCCCUUCUUCCCCCGAGGUACAAACCCCCAGCCCCAGUCCUCCGAAGCGGUCAUCGCCCUCACCCGUCCCGCCCAGCGGCCUCACAGACCAGGGAGGCAGGCCAGUCGGCCAGGGGGGCCGGAGGUCAGGCGGCUCGUCCGUGAACCACCCGCCCGCUCCGGCUCCUUUCACACCGGGGACCGCUGCUGAACCCUGGCGGGUCCGCGCGUCCACACCUGAUCCAGAGGAUCCGUUGGUUUCCCGUCCCUCUGAACUCGCGCGCGGGGGCCGAGGUUCGAGCCUUCCAUCCUAUCCAGAUCUACACUGUUUCCAGGACGAUCCCCCGAGCCGUGAUAAUGGCAGACCCGGAGGCUUCAUCCAAACAGACGAGGAGACAUCUGGAACUGGAGACGCCGAGGAUGACAUGUCUAUCGACAGCCUGGGACUGACGCUGCAUGACGGAGCCUCCUCCGAUGAAGACGAGUUGGAGGAGGACGGUGGGGGGUCAGGCGAGUGGCGGUGGAGGGAUGAGGACCUCGUCCGCGCCUCUAACGCAACAUCAGAAGGUUCCCUGGUUCCUGAGGGCUCUGGAUCAGAACAAGAGCCAGACGCAGAGACAGGCGAGGCCGGGUUCCAGUCAAAGCCGUCCAGGGCGCUGCAAGCCUUGGCCCAGAGAGCUUCCUCUGGUCAGGAGCGGCGUGGCGGCGGCCUGGAUGGGUUCCUGACUCUGGGUUUGGACCUCCAGUCCACCAGCUACGGCGGUCCUCCGGAACACACAGAGCCCAACGAGGAGAACCAGCGGGACCCAAUGCAGCCGCCGGGCCCAGACACAUUCCACCCAGGGGCAGUGAGCUGGAGGCCCAGUAGUAGUCUGCGAGCCCGUGCCCAGGAACACCUGGUUAGCACCGUGAUGAAGGACAGCCAGAGUCGGCCAACCGGUGUUCAGCAUCGCUCUGCCCCGCCCACUGUGAGAAGAGACAUUUCUACUUACAAGCCAGGAUUAUCAGGAUCACCACGGUACCCCCUCUCUGCUCGGUCCACCUCGGCCCGGCGCCCCGCUCCGGCAGAGGAACUCUCCCCCCUCCUCUCUCUCUCCCGCCUCCCUCCCCCCUCCCUCUCUGGCCCGUGCUCCGGGGGCGUGUCCUUGCGGCCCGUGUCCCGCGCCGCCCAGGAGAUCCAGGACAUCAGCGGUGUGGACCGGGCGAGCGGAGAGGACCCCAGGGAGGACGCGGACGCGGAGGCCCUGACCCGCCUGGAGGAGGAGCUCAGACUCAUGGUCCAUGAUACAAGCGCUCGGCCCGCGUUAAUAAGGAGCGCAGGCCACGGAGCACAAGGCCAGCGGAGGACUAAAGAUCUGACAUGGGGCGGAGUCAGUGAGGAGCAGAAACAGGAGGAAGAGGAAGUGGCGAGAGAUCACCAGAGUGUCUUGUCACUGCCUUGAAGCACGCCGAGUCAGAUAUGGAUGAACCGGCAUGUGGAUGUAUGCAUGUGGGUGUAUGCAUGUGCACACACACACAGUCACACACAGUCACACACACACACACACACACACACACACACACACACACGCACACGCACACGCACACACACACCUGUCAUUUUUGGGGACUACUUUAAACAACAUAUAGAUAGACUAAUUUGCAUUUAUUUUCGAAACCUUCACUGUCAUGUAGAUAAGUGAGGCUACUGACUGUGCCUUGUAUUCUGUCUAGUCAGCCCUGGCAAUAAGCUAUUAGCUCUUACCAUUGGCUAUUUAAAAAAAAAUCAGGAAACGGGUGAGACAUUGUGACAUGACUAAGCAUUAAAGAAUCCAAUCUGAUGACGUUUCCCUUGCAUUUAUGUGUUUUUGUGUGUGUGUCUGUGUCUGUGUGAGAGCAUGCCCCAAUGAAAACCCCCAGGUGUGGAGCAGUGGACACAUUUAAUUAUGAGUGUUUCCUAUCCCUUCCCCAGUGUGUAUAUUCACCAGGUUAGAGUACCAGGGGUUCGGUUCAAAGGCGGACAUACUACUACUGCCUCCCUGUCUGCUUCUUUCACAAACGCACACAUAAAAGGUUUCUGCAGGUGAUAAAUUUAGUUUGUGCGGGGAGCAGAAAAUAGGUGCUGUGCCAAAGGACACGGUUGCCAUUACUUUAUGCGUGUGUGUGUGUGUGUGUGUAGGUGUGUAUGUGUGUGUGUCUUUGUGUGUGUGUGUGUGUGUGUGUCUGCCAUACGAGGUAGAAAAAGAUAAACCAGCGGCACAGGAUCUGGGUUUGUUGUCUCUGUGGUGUGUGUGUGUGAGUGAGAGAGAGAAACUGGCUUUGGGUACAUAUUUAUCUUCCUCUCUCUCAUCGCCAUGCUGUUUUGCAUGGCUCCUCACAGCCAGCACUAAUCUAUCAC
This is a long non-coding RNA of Gadus morhua (Atlantic cod), 3585 nucleotides long. NCBI's taxonomy places the organism in Eukaryota, Metazoa, Chordata, Actinopteri, Gadiformes, Gadidae. The record is from Ensembl.